RNAcentral lists this ribosomal RNA (272 nucleotides) under uncultured prokaryote. RNAcentral describes it as "partial 16S ribosomal RNA". It matches the Rfam family "Bacterial small subunit ribosomal RNA", at positions 524 to 794 of the family's 1533-position model. The record is from RNAcentral.
UACAUAGGGUGCAAGCGUUAAUCGGAAUUACUGGGCGUAAAGGGUGCGCAGGCGGCUUGGAAAGAACGGUGUGAAAUCCCGGGGCUCAACCCCGGAACUGCACUAUUAACUAUCAAGCUAGAGUAUGUCAGAGGGGGGUGGGAAUUCCGCGUGUAGCAGUGAAAUGCGUAGAUAUGCGGAGGAACACCAAUGGCGAAGGCAGCCCCCUGGGAUAAUACUGACGCUCAGGCACGAAAGCGUGGGUAGCAAACAGGAUUAGAUACCCGUGUAGU